RNAcentral lists this ribosomal RNA (377 nucleotides) under uncultured bacterium. RNAcentral describes it as "bacterial SSU rRNA". It matches the Rfam family "Bacterial small subunit ribosomal RNA", at positions 523 to 898 of the family's 1533-position model. The record is from RNAcentral.
AGACGUAGGGGGCGAGCGUUGUCCGGAAUUACUGGGCGUAAAGGGCGUGUAGGCGGCCUAGCAAGUCAGUUGUGAAAUCCCAGGGCUUAACCCUGGGCUAGCAACUGAAACUGUUAAGCUUGAGUGCAUCAGAGGAGAGCGGAAUUCCUAGUGUAGCGGUGACAUGCGUAGAUAUUAGGAGGAACACCCGUGGCGAAGGCGGCUCUCUGGGGUGCAACUGACGCUGAGGCGCGAAAGCUGGGGGAGCGAACGGGAUUAGAUACCCCGGUAGUCCUGGCUGUAAACGAUGGGUACUAGGUGUUGGGGGUAUCGACCCCUCCAGUGCCGCAGUUAACGCAAUAAGUACCCCGCCUGGGGAGUACGGCCGCAAGGUUGAA